This 406-nucleotide ribosomal RNA is filed under the name uncultured bacterium. RNAcentral describes it as "partial 16S ribosomal RNA". It matches the Rfam family "Bacterial small subunit ribosomal RNA", at positions 30 to 526 of the family's 1533-position model. The record is from RNAcentral.
AUUGAACGCUGGCGGCAGGCCUAACACAUGCAAGUCGAGCGAGCGGCGGACGGGUGAGUAAUGUCUGGGAAACUGCCUGAUGGAGGGGGAUAACGUCCGGAAACGGGCGCUAAUACCGCAUACUAUCAGAUGUGCCCAGAUGGGAUUAGCUAGUAGGUGGGGUAACGGCUCACCUAGGCGACGAUCCCUAGCUGGUCUGAGAGGAUGACCAGCCACACUGGAACUGAGACACGGUCCAGACUCCUACGGGAGGCAGCAGUGGGGAAUAUUGCACAAUGGGCGCAAGCCUGAUGCAGCCAUGCCGCGUGUGUGAAGAAGGCCUUCGGGUUGUAAAGCACUUUCAGCGGGGAGGCGUUACCCGCAGAAGAAGCACCGGCUAACUCCGUGCCAGCCGCCGCGGUAAUUC